Molecule: ribosomal RNA, 600 nt
Filed under: uncultured archaeon
Lineage: Archaea
Description: bacterial SSU rRNA
Rfam family: Archaeal small subunit ribosomal RNA
Source: RNAcentral
GACGGCUCAGUAACACGUGGCUAACCUACCCUCGGGUGGGGGAUAACCUCGGGAAACUGAGGAUAAUACCCCAUAGGAGAAGAGGUCUGGAAUGAUCCUUCUCUGAAAACAUAUGUGCCCGAGGAUGGGGCUGCGUCUGAUUAGGUAGUUGGUGGGGUAACGGCCCACCAAGCCUACGAUCAAUACGGGCCUUGAGAGAGGCAGCCCGGAGAUGGGGACUGAGACACGGCCCCAGGCCCUACGGGGCGCAGCAGGCGCGAAACCUCCGCAAUGCACGAAAGUGCGACGGGGGGACCCCAAGUGCUUACGCACUGCGUAGGCUUUUCUAAAGUGUAAAAAGCUUUAGGAAUAAGGGCUGGGCAAGUCCGGUGCCAGCAGCCGCGGUAACACCGGCGGCCCGAGUGGUGACCACUUUUAUUGGGCCUAAAGCGUCCGUAGCCGGUCCAGUAAGUCCCUGUUUAAAUCCUACGGCUUAACCGUAGGGCUGGCAGGGAUACUGCUGGACUUGGGACCGGGAGAGGGCGAGGGUACUUCAGGGGUAGCGGUGAAAUGUGUUGAUCCCUGGAGGACCACCUAUGGCGAAGGCACUCGCCUGGAACG